GACGGAGGAUGCAAGCGUUAUCCGGAAUGAUUGGGCGUAAAGCGUCCGCAGGUGGCAAUUCAAGUCUGCUGUUAAAGCGCAGGGCUUAACUCUGUAAAGGCAGUGGAAACUGAAUAGCUAGAGUGUGGUAGGGGCAGAGGGAAUUCCCAGUGUAGCGGUGAAAUGCAUAGAGAUUGGGAAGAACAUCGGUGGCGAAGGCGCUCUGCUGGACCAUAACUGACACUCACAGGACGAAAGCUAGGGGAGCGAAUGGG
Molecule: ribosomal RNA, 254 nt
Filed under: uncultured bacterium
Lineage: Bacteria
Description: partial 16S ribosomal RNA
Rfam family: Bacterial small subunit ribosomal RNA
Source: RNAcentral